RNAcentral lists this ribosomal RNA (253 nucleotides) under uncultured bacterium. Its description in RNAcentral is "partial 16S ribosomal RNA". It matches the Rfam family "Bacterial small subunit ribosomal RNA", at positions 524 to 776 of the family's 1533-position model. The record is from RNAcentral.
UACGAAGGGGGCUAGCGUUGUUCGGAUUUACUGGGCGUAAAGCGCGUGUAGGCGGAUCGUUAAGUCGGGGGUGAAAGCCCAGAGCUCAACUCUGGAAUUGCCUUCGAUACUGGCGGUCUGGAGCAGAGAAGAGGCGAGUGGAAUUCCGAGUGUAGAGGUGAAAUUUGUAGAUAUUCGGAGGAACACCAGUGGCGAAGGCCGCUCGCUGGUCUCUUGCUGAAGCUGAGACGCGAAAGCGUGGGGAGCAAACAGG